GAUGAAGAACGCAGCAAAAUGCGAUAAGUAAUGUGAAUUGCAGAAUUCAGUGAAUCAUCGAAUCUUUGAACGCACAUUGCGCCCGCUGGUAUUCCGGCGGGCAUGCCUGUUCGAGCGUCAUUUCAACCCUCAAGCCCCCGGGUUUGGUGUUGGGGAUCGGCUCUGCCCUUCUGGGCGGUGCCGCCCCCGAAAUACAUUGGCGGUCUCGCUGCAGCCUCCAUUGCGUAGUAGCUACACCUCGCAACUGGAACGCGGCGCGGCCAUGCCGUAAAACCCCAACUUCUGAAUGUUGACCUCGGAUCAGGUAGGAAUACCCGCUGAACUUAAGCAUAUCAAUAAGCGGAGGA
RNAcentral lists this unclassified non-coding RNA (347 nucleotides) under soil metagenome. RNAcentral describes it as "partial contains 5.8S ribosomal RNA, internal transcribed spacer 2, and large subunit ribosomal RNA". The stretch from base 1 to 120 matches the Rfam family "5.8S ribosomal RNA", at positions 35 to 154 of the family's 154-position model. The record is from RNAcentral.